GAUGAACGCUAGCGGCAGGCCUAAUACAUGCAAGUCGAGCGGCAAGUCGAGGAGUAAUCUAAGAACUAGAGCGGCGCACGGGUGCGUAACGCGUAUGCAACCUACCUUAUACUGGGGGAUAGCCCGGAGAAAUCUGGAUUAAUACCCCAUGGCACAUAUUGAUGGCAUCUGAGAUAUGUUAAAGAUUUAUUGGUAUAAGAUGGGCAUGCGUCUGAUUAGCUAGUUGGCGGUGUAACGGACCACCAAGGCGACGAUCAGUAGGGGUUCUGAGAGGAAGGUCCCCCACACUGGCACUGAGAUACGGGCCAGACUCCUACGGGAGGCAGCAGUAGGGAAUAUUGGGCAAUGGUCGGAAGACUGACCCAGCCAUGCCGCGUGCAGGAAGACGGGCCCUCUGGGUUGUAAACUGCUUUANCUGGA
RNAcentral lists this ribosomal RNA (420 nucleotides) under uncultured bacterium. RNAcentral describes it as "bacterial SSU rRNA". It matches the Rfam family "Bacterial small subunit ribosomal RNA", at positions 28 to 443 of the family's 1533-position model. The record is from RNAcentral.